Molecule: ribosomal RNA, 466 nt
Filed under: uncultured bacterium
Lineage: Bacteria
Description: partial 16S ribosomal RNA
Rfam family: Bacterial small subunit ribosomal RNA
Source: RNAcentral
GACGAACGCUGGCGGCGUGCUUAACACAUGCAAGUCGAACGAUGAAGCCCUGCUUGCUGGGUGUGCUAGUGGCGCAAGGGGGAGUAACACGCGUGUAUCCCGUCCUUAACUCUGUGAUAUGACUGGAGAACAGGGUCUCUUAUCGGAUAGGAGAGCUCACCCCAUGGGGGGUGUUGGGGAGAGUUGGCGGUUUUGGGUGGAGUCGCGGCCUAUCAGCUUGUUGGUGGGGUAUUGGCUCAUCAAGGCGACGACGGGUAGCGGGCCUGAGAGGGUGACCGGCCACACUGGGACUGAGAUACGGCCCAGACUCCUACGGGAGGCAGCAGUGGGGAAUAUUGCACAAUGGGCGCAAGCCUGAUGCAGCGACGCCGCGUGAGGGAUGACGGCCUUCGGGUUGUAAACCGCUUUCAGUAGGGAAGAAGCGAAAGUGACGGUACCUGGAGAAGAAGCACCGGCUAACUACGUG